UACGUAGGUGGCGAGCGUUGUCCGGAAUUACUGGGCGUAAAGGGUGCGUAGGCGGCUCCUUAAGUGAGGUGUGAAAUCCCUGGGCUCAACCCAGGAACUGCACUUCAAACUGGGGAGCUAGAGUGCAGGAGAGGAAAGCGGAAUUCCCGGUGUAGCGGUGAAAUGCGUAGAGAUCGGGAGGAACACCAGUGGCGAAGGCGGCUUUUUGGACUGUAACUGACGCUGAGGCACGAAAGCGUGGGGAGCAAACAGG
Molecule: ribosomal RNA, 253 nt
Filed under: uncultured bacterium
Lineage: Bacteria
Description: partial 16S ribosomal RNA
Rfam family: Bacterial small subunit ribosomal RNA
Source: RNAcentral